RNAcentral lists this ribosomal RNA (233 nucleotides) under uncultured bacterium. RNAcentral's name for it is "partial 16S ribosomal RNA". It matches the Rfam family "Bacterial small subunit ribosomal RNA", at positions 15 to 240 of the family's 1533-position model. The record is from RNAcentral.
GAUCCUGACUCAGGAUGAACGCUAGCUACAGGCUUAACACAUGCAAGUCGAGGGGCAGCAUGAACUUAGCUUGCUAAGUUUGAUGGCGACCGGCGCACGGGUGAGUAACACGUAUCCAACCUGCUGAUGACUCGGGGAUAGCCUUUCGAAAGAAAGAUUAAUACCCGAUGGCAUAGUUCUUUCGCAUGGUAGAACUAUUAAAGAAUUUCGGUCAUCGAUGGGGAUGCGUUCCA